Molecule: non-coding RNA, 231 nt
Organism: Pelobates cultripes (western spadefoot toad)
Lineage: Eukaryota; Metazoa; Chordata; Amphibia; Anura; Pelobatidae
Source: the annotation of a GenBank genome assembly
GCAGGGAGGAGGGGAGUUCCAGAGGAGAACUCCCAUCUGCCUCAGCCUGCCACUGGACCAGGGAAACCACCCUCCAGGAAAAGGUAAGAACCUGGAGGGUGGCUAAAUGUAUGUCAGUAGGUCUGUGUGUGUGUGUGUAUGUCUGUCUGUGUGUGUCAGUGUGUGUGUGUGUGUGUGUCAGUAUGUCAGUGUGUGUAUGUCAGUGUGUGUGUGUGUCUCUGUGUGUGUCAG